RNAcentral lists this ribosomal RNA (497 nucleotides) under uncultured bacterium. RNAcentral's name for it is "partial 16S ribosomal RNA". It matches the Rfam family "Bacterial small subunit ribosomal RNA", at positions 28 to 507 of the family's 1533-position model. The record is from RNAcentral.
GAUGAACGCUGGCGGCGUGCCUAAUACAUGCAAGUCGAGCGAACGGACGAGAAGCUUGCUUCUCUGAUGUUAGCGGCGGACGGGUGAGUAACACGUGGAUAACCUACCUAUAAGACUGGGAUAACUUCGGGAAACCGGAGCUAAUACCGGAUAAUAUUUUGAACCGCAUGGUUCAAAAGUGAAAGACGGUCUUGCUGUCACUUAUAGAUGGAUCCGCGCUGCAUUAGCUAGUUGGGAAGGUAACGGCUUACCAAGGCAACGAUGCAUAGCCGACCUGAGAGGGUGAUCGGCCACCCUGGAACUGAGACACGGUCCAGACUCGUACGGGAGGCAGCAGUAGGGAAUCUUCCGCGAUGGGCGAAAGGCUGACGGAGCAAAGCCGCGUGAAUGAUGAAGGUCUUCGGACCGUAAAACUCUGUUAUUAGGGAAGAACAUAUGUGUAAGUACCUGUGCACAUCUUGACGGUACCUAAUCAGAAAGCCACGGCUAACUACGUG